CCUAGUAAGCACAAGUCAUUAGCUUGUGCUGAUUACGUCCCUGCCCUUUGUACACACCGCCCGUCGCUACUACCGAUUGAAUGGCUUAGUGAGGCCUUCGGAUCGAGAUUCGGAGACUGGCAACAGACUCUGGGUUUUGAAAAGUUGGUCAAACUUGGUCAUUUAGAGGAAGUAAAAGUCGUAACAAGGUUUCCGUAGGUGAACCUGCGGAAGGAUCAUUACCAAUCUUAGCGGGCCUGGUCUUUGUCGACCAUGGUUUCGCGAAAAUCGUAUUUAAAACCCCACUCUUAUAAAAUGAAUCAUUUUAUUUGUAAUAAUAAAUAAAGAUCACUUUCAACAACGAAUCUCUUGGCUCUCGCAUCGAUGAAGAACGUAGCGAAGUGCGAUAAGUAGUGUGAAUUGCAGAAUUCCGUGAAUCAUCGAAUCUUUGAACGCAAAUUGCACUCCCUGGCAUCCCGGGGAGUAUGCCUGUUUGAGGGUCAGUAAAAUUAAAAUCGGUACGUUGCAUUCUUUUGUAACGUCUCCGGAGUUUGGGUUAUCUUAGCUCUGAGGUUAAGAGGCUUAAAAUUGACAUCAUUUCGCGCGCUUUUAGACGUACAUAAAUUAAUUUUUAUUCGUCUAACUGGUGCCGAAGGUUAUUAGAUGCGACCAUAUUUCGUGAUCUCGUGUCUAUAAUUUUAUCAUGAUUUGACCUCAAAUCAGGUAGGAGUACCCGCUGAACUUAAGCAUAUCAAUAAGCGGAGGAAAAGAAAAUAACAAUGAUUCCCCUAGUAACUGCGAGUGAAGAGGGACAAGCUCAAAUUUUAAAUCUGUUAGGCUUACCUAACCGAGUUGUAAUUUGAAGAGGCGUUUUCUGUGUUUCUGAUCAUUCCAAGUCCUUUGGGAUAGGGCAUUAUGGAGGGUGAGAAUCCCGUUCGGUUGAUCAGAUUCGCUUUACGAUACGUCAUCUAAGAGUCAAGUUGUUUGGGAUUGCAGCUUAAAAUGGGAGGUAAAUUUCUCCUAAGGCUAAAUAUUGGCGAGAGACCGAUAGCGAACAAGUACCGUGAGGGAAAGAUGAAGGGAACUUUGAAAAGAGAGUAAAAUAGUACGUGAAAUUGUUGAAAGGGAAACGGUUGAAGUCAGUCGUACCGACGGAAAAUCAGCUCUUUGAGUGCGGACUUGUGGGUUUACGUGAGCUUUACGGCCUCGUUGUUUGCAAUGUUCGUUCUUUUUGGGUGUACUUUUUCGUAUGGUUGGCCAAUAUCAGUUUCGAUCGCUAUAAAAUGACCGGCGGAAUGUAGCUUCGAUCUCGUAUUGAAGUGUUAUAGCCUCUGGUAGAUGUGGUGAUUGGGACUGAGGAUUGCAACGAAUACCUUUUGGGCUAUCCGUCUGACCUCUGAAAGUUGCUUAGGUGCCGAAAGCGUGCUUACGGUUAUUUAAGUUGACGGUCAAAAGGUUAGAACGUGAUUAUAUUCGUUAAGGAUGUUGGCGUAAUGGCUUUAAACGACCCGUCUUGAAACACGGACCAAGGAG
This 1512-nucleotide ribosomal RNA is filed under the name uncultured Glomeromycotina. RNAcentral's name for it is "eukaryotic LSU rRNA". The stretch from base 689 to 1512 matches the Rfam family "Eukaryotic large subunit ribosomal RNA", at positions 1 to 673 of the family's 3401-position model. Lineage: Eukaryota; Fungi; Glomeromycota. The record is from RNAcentral.